Molecule: ribosomal RNA, 497 nt
Filed under: Anaplasma phagocytophilum
Lineage: Bacteria; Pseudomonadati; Pseudomonadota; Alphaproteobacteria; Rickettsiales; Anaplasmataceae
Description: bacterial SSU rRNA
Rfam family: Bacterial small subunit ribosomal RNA
Source: RNAcentral
AUUAAGAAUAGUUAGUGGCAGACGGGUGAGUAAUGCAUAGGAAUCUACCUAGUAGUAUGGGAUAGCCACUAGAAAUGGUGGGUAAUACUGUAUAAUCCCUGCGGGGGAAAGAUUUAUCGCUAUUAGAUGAGCCUAUGUUAGAUUAGCUAGUUGGUAGGGUAAAGGCCUACCAAGGCGAUGAUCUAUAGCUGGUCUGAGAGGAUGAUCAGCCACACUGGAACUGAGAUACGGUCCAGACUCCUACGGGAGGCAGCAGUGGGGAAUAUUGGACAAUGGGCGCAAGCCUGAUCCAGCUAUGCCGCAUGAGUGAGGAAGGCCUUAGGGUUGUAAAACUCUUUCAGUAGGGAAGAUAAUGACGGUACCUACAGAAGAAGUCCCGGCAAACUCCGUGCCAGCAGCCGCGGUAAUACGGAGGGGGCAAGCGUUGUUCGGAAUUAUUGGGCGUAAAGGGCAUGUAGGCGGUUCGGUAAGUUAAAGGUGAAAUGCCAGGGCUUAAC